This 253-nucleotide ribosomal RNA is filed under the name uncultured bacterium. RNAcentral's name for it is "partial 16S ribosomal RNA". It matches the Rfam family "Bacterial small subunit ribosomal RNA", at positions 524 to 776 of the family's 1533-position model. The record is from RNAcentral.
UACGUAUGGUGCAAGCGUUAUCCGGAUUUACUGGGUGUAAAGGGAGCGCAGGCGGCACGGCAAGCCUGAUGUGAAAGCCCGCGGCCCAACCGCGGGACUGCAUUGGGAACUACCGGGCUGGAGUGCCGGAGAGGUAGGCGGAAUUCCUAGUGUAGCGGUGAAAUGCGUAGAUAUUAGGAGGAACACCAGUGGCGAAGGCGGCUUACUGGACUGUAAAUGACGCUGAGGCUCGAAAGCGUGGGGAGCAAACAGG